UGCCAUACAUUUAAAGCGCUCAUAUCUCACUGGUAACAGCCAUGGUCUCCCAGAUAAUCCUGGGAUGUGUAGUUUGUUAAGGGUGCUGAGAGUAAUGAGCUGCCACAGAGCUAUAAUUCUCAGCUCCCUUUAUACAAACUACACUUCCCAGAGCACUUUGCAGGAAGCCAUAACUUGAAAUUGAGGAACAGGAAAUGGUCUAAAUGGCUUUUGCCUUGCAUGUUUAUAAUUGAAACACCAUCCUGAGCAAAUCAAGCAUCUAGAAGUGUAAGCAAGUUUAAACAAAGCUAACAUGCGUGGAUGUUGAACGAUGGGGAAAUUUUUAAAAUAAAUAAUAUAAGAAUACAGGGCUAGUUCAAUUACACUAUACCAUAGGGUAUCAUAAGUAAGGGUAUGAGCAAGAAGCAAUUCCAGAAGGCCCAGGAGAAGCAGACGGCAGUGGUGAGGAGAGGGGAUUACUAGGAAUGAGAUCAGGAGAUGCUGGGGAGCUGCCAUGUUUGCAGGCAAGCAGUCAAGGCACAUGCAGGCUCUUCGGUCAGUGGGGCUCAGUACCCACCCGGACAAAUGUGCCAAACUCAAGCAGCCUGGAUUCAGCCUGGGAACAGGAGCCCUUCAGGGGGCUUCUGGCAUUUGAGGAUGAUGAUAACAUGGAUAGAAUACUGCCCUACUUUACAAAAGAGGUUAUGUGGAGAAGGUCCAUAGCACCUCCAGCUAGUGCUGGGAGUGCUCCUUUCCUGAAACCCUGGAGAGCUGCUGCCAGUCAGUGUAGACAGUACUGAGUUAGAUGGACCGCCGGUCUGACUCAUGUAAGGCAGCUUCCUGUCUUCCACUGAAACGUUAAUGGGGAGACACCUCGCAAACGGCUUCUUUUCGUAAGGAAGCCUUCCAUUAGCACCUACCGUGUGCCAUUUGGCUUUCCUUUUUAAAAAUAAGUUUUGAAAAUUCGUAGAGUUGUCACAUUUAUGAGUACUAGGAGAGCUAAUUAGUGCAGAAGCCAUUAGCCCUGCGUCUUUUACUUGGAAUGCUGAAAGCACCCCAAAAGCUGCCACUCCAGCUGGAAAGAAUUGUGCAAGUAUUUGCAGUUUGCACAGCAAGAGUAAUUGGCAGAAGCGUGAGAAUGUUGUAAUCUGCUCAGGAACAGGAAGGCAAAUAAAAGAUGCAUUCAUCCACCCCAAACGAGCAGGCAGAAGAAUUGGCUGGAAGCCUCAAAAGCCGUCCCCCCCCCCAACUCUCUGACACUGUAGGACUGGUACUAUUGAAGUCAAUUGAACUACUCCACAGUCUCCCUUGCCGCCCCUUUUUCUCCUGUGCCCAGUUAACUCUGCUGCUCAUCCUUGCUCAAACCCUAUCAAGAUUGCAACCUAAUAAUAAUAAUAAUAAGUAAUCCAGUCAUUUAAAAAUAAAAUAUUGGCCCAUGCCCUCCCCUCCAGGAAGCUAUCAGCUGCAAGGGAGCUCUUGUGCAACUUAUACCAAAUGCCCCUUCUUCUCACUUAUGUCUUAGGGAUAUUUAGCCUCUUGGUUUUUUUCCCAUAUUUGAGUUACACUUCUGAAUGAAUGAACUUUAUUACGGUCACAGACCAGCAUAAGAAAAAAAUUUCAUAUACCAGUAUGUAUUUUUUGUACUUUUGCCAACCUCUGGGAUUUCCCCUUAGCAUGAUGCUACCUCCAUUCUUGGCUUCCUCUGUUUUCCCUCCAUUUCCCUCAGCACUGCCCACCUGAGCUGUUAUUGGAGGAAAUGGCUGUUUCAUUAAAGGCAAACUGAAAGCAAGGUUUGUCACCUGCUUUGGCAUUGUAUGAUUUUUUAUUAUUAUUGAAACAAAAAGCUGCUGGAGGGAACCAGAUUAGGACUAUGGGGUGGGAAUGGUAGCAGUGGGGACACCAGUUGGGAUCACUGUAGGGGCAAUGGGUGAAUGCACAACCUGCUUUGGUCAGCUAGCAAUUGGUUUUUUUUUAAUUCAGUCUAGUGAAGAGAGAGGAUGAUAGAUAAAGUAUACACGCACUUCAGAUUUAUAUAGCGCUUGCACCGUUCAAAGCAUUUCACUGCAUACACUAUUUGCAUGUUGUUAUUGCAGAUGAGGAGGCUGAGGUUGAACUAACAGGGCCAGGUAGUGUAUAUGUGGCUGAGAGAUGUGAACCAGCAGCCUCACAGCUCAUUCUCUCAAGUCACUACACCAGGAAUGGGCUUUGGGAGGAAAGCAGUGAUUCCUGAUGACCCACCCACCAGCAGUGCCUUCUUGAGUUGGCUUUCUAGCAAUAUAACUUGCUGUUUAGAGGUAUAGGAUCAGCCUUGUAGGCCAAAUUUGACAGAAGGUGGGACUGCCCUUCUGUCAACCACCUCACAUCACAAUGACAUCAGGUGCAAGGUGCUUUGAAGUCCCAAAGUUGGGUUUCAAAGCACCUUGCAAGUCGUUGCCAAAAGGAAGGAUUUCCCCCUCUGCUUUUGCAGGGGAUUCCAUGCAAACACCCUUUCCUGAAAUUUUCCUGAAACAUUAAACAUUAAAGGGUUUGGUUGGAAUGCUGCCAAAAUGAGCAGGAUUUAACCCUACAUGGCUGAUGAGCAGGGUUGUUAAUUCCUGCUGCUUUGGCUGCAUGUGUUUAUUAACUGCUGGUAACAGGCGCAUGCAGCCAAUGCAGGAUUUAAGUCCAUCGGAUGAUAUAAUGAGUGUUGUCAGCUGAUGGGAAGGUGUGCAUGGUUAGAGGGAAAUGGUCUUAUAGGUCAACUUGGAUGCCUUGGUGGGCUAAGAUUAGCCCACAGGCCAGAGGUUCCCGGUCCCUGGGACAGAGGAAUACAGUACAGUGCUUACAAAAUUGCUGCCUUCCUUUUCUCCCCCAUGCCAGUUAUAUUUCUUGUAUUUAACUUUCAUUUGAUGCCAUUGCUGUAGAAUAUGGAAGCCUUUAUCCUGCUGUGAUUAAAAUCAGUCCCAAAAAAAGAGAGAACACAUUAAGUGUUAUAUCUAUGACAGUUUUUAUUACCCCCCCCCCUUUGUCACAGGCAUUGGCUCGGUAUGCUACACAACAAAGAAAGCCACACACAAGUGAUUAAAGUACUUGUUUCAGUUAAACACUGCUACAACAAAAUCCACAACAUCAUAGUUACAUAUUUAUGGCUCAGUGGUUAUCUAAAGAAACAUCAGAGGGAGAAAA
Podarcis raffonei (Aeolian wall lizard) is the source of this 3144-nucleotide long non-coding RNA. RefSeq lists it as uncharacterized. NCBI's taxonomy places the organism in Eukaryota, Metazoa, Chordata, Lepidosauria, Squamata, Lacertidae. The record is from RefSeq and is a predicted model, not a curated record. The transcript has 2 exons.